UCCAUGCCACUAAAUAAUUGGUUGCGGA
Molecule: small RNA, 28 nt
Filed under: Bombyx mori (domestic silkworm)
Lineage: Eukaryota; Metazoa; Arthropoda; Insecta; Lepidoptera; Bombycidae
Description: ovarian small RNA-27011
Source: RNAcentral